CAGCAGACUCCCCAUUGCCAUUGCCCUCCAUGUGCAGGGAGAAAGGGUCCUGCUGCUCGUGGCUUUGAAAGCUUUUCCAGUGUAUGAUCACCACGUGGGAUUCAGAGAUGGGCAAGCCCGAAGUAUCUAGAGGAGAGAGGAAUUGUCUUCCUCCUCUCCAGUUUGGUGAUGAAGGUGGAAUAAAACUUCACUGGCUGGACACUGCUUGCUCCUGGACUACUGCAACUAAGAGAUCCUGGAUCCCUGACAAGAGCUGGCAAGAGAAAUGCUUUAUAUUAAAUACCUGAUUGCUUGCUUAUACAACAUAGGCUUAGCUUUUGGAGCCCACCUGCAUCACCGCUUUUUGAAGUGAAUUUAGCUGAAGUCAUCUAUUAUCAGCACUAAGAGACCUGUUCAGUGACAUGGAAAAUCUACCAACUUAGAUUCUGGACUGUGAACCUUCUGAAAAAUGUCAAAGUUGGGACUGUAGGGGAAGAGGACUGGCCACCCCAAAAUGUAUGUAUUUGGCUUGAUUAGUUUUAGGAACAGAAGACUCUGAAAGAAACAGACCUUCCCUUUAAUUGCCUAAAAGAAUUUAAGAUAGAAGUACUGUUUCAGGAAGGAACUAAUACCAUAAGAUAACUAUAGUGUAAUUUAAACUAAGUGUGA
Molecule: long non-coding RNA, 648 nt
Organism: Equus quagga
Lineage: Eukaryota; Metazoa; Chordata; Mammalia; Perissodactyla; Equidae
Exons: 3
Source: RefSeq, a predicted model, not a curated record